RNAcentral lists this transfer RNA (81 nucleotides) under Flaviflexus sp. RNAcentral describes it as "tRNA-Tyr". It matches the Rfam family "tRNA". Rfam says of the family: Transfer RNA (tRNA) molecules are approximately 80 nucleotides in length. Their secondary structure includes four short double-helical elements and three loops (D, anti-codon, and T loops). The record is from RNAcentral. Lineage: Bacteria; Bacillati; Actinomycetota; Actinomycetes; Actinomycetales; Actinomycetaceae.
GGCGGGUUUCCCGAGUGGCCAAAGGGAUCUGACUGUAAAUCAGACGCGUGAGCUUCGCAGGUUCGAAUCCUGCACCCGCCA